RNAcentral lists this ribosomal RNA (729 nucleotides) under uncultured bacterium. RNAcentral's name for it is "bacterial SSU rRNA". It matches the Rfam family "Bacterial small subunit ribosomal RNA", at positions 136 to 851 of the family's 1533-position model. The record is from RNAcentral.
GAGGGGGAUAACACUUGGAAACAGGUGCUAAUACCGCAUAACCAUAGUUACCGCAUGGUAACUAUGUAAAAGGUGGCUAUGCUACCGCUUUUGGAUGGGCCCGCGACGCAUUAGCUAGUUGGUGGGGUAAAGGCUUACCAAGGCAAUGAUGCGUAGCCGAACUGAGAGGUUGAUCGGCCACAUUGGGACUGAGACACGGCCCAAACUCCUACGGGAGGCAGCAGUAGGGAAUCUUCCACAAUGGGCGAAAGCCUGAUGGAGCAACGCCGCGUGGGUGAAGAAGGUCUUCGGAUCGUAAAACCCUGUUGUUAGAGAAGAAAGUGCGUGAGAGUAACUGUUCACGUUUCGACGGUAUCUAACCAGAAAGCCACGGCUAACUACGUGCCAGCAGCCGCGGUAAUACGUAGGUGGCAAGCGUUAUCCGGAUUUAUUGGGCGUAAAGAGAACGCAGGCGGUCUUUUAAGUCUGAUGUGAAAGCCUUCGGCUUAACCGGAGUAGUGCAUUGGAAACUGGGAGACUUGAGUGCAGAAGAGGAGAGUGGAACUCCAUGUGUAGCGGUGAAAUGCGUAGAUAUAUGGAAGAACACCAGUGGCGAAAGCGGCUCUCUGGUCUGUAACUGACGCUGAGGUUCGAAAGCGUGGGUAGCAAACAGGAUUAGAUACCCUGGUAGUCCACGCCGUAAACGAUGAAUGCUAAGUGUUGGAGGGUUUCCGCCCUUCAGUGCUGCAG